This 497-nucleotide ribosomal RNA is filed under the name Acinetobacter johnsonii. RNAcentral's name for it is "bacterial SSU rRNA". It matches the Rfam family "Bacterial small subunit ribosomal RNA", at positions 148 to 639 of the family's 1533-position model. Lineage: Bacteria; Pseudomonadati; Pseudomonadota; Gammaproteobacteria; Moraxellales; Moraxellaceae. The record is from RNAcentral.
AUUCCGAAAGGAAUGCUAAUACCGCACACGCCCUACGGGGGAAAGCAGGGGAUCUUCGGACCUUGCGCUAAUAGAUGAGCCUAAGUCAGAUUAGCUAGUUGGUGGGGUAAAGGCCUACCAAGGCGACGAUCUGUAGCGGGUCUGAGAGGAUGAUCCGCCACACUGGGACUGAGACACGGCCCAGACUCCUACGGGAGGCAGCAGUGGGGAAUAUUGGACAAUGGGCGAAAGCCUGAUCCAGCCAUGCCGCGUGUGUGAAGAAGGCCUUUUGGUUGUAAAGCACUUUAAGCGAGGAGGAGGCUACCGAGAUUAAUACUCUUGGAUAGUGGACGUUACUCGCAGAAUAAGCACCGGCUAACUCUGUGCCAGCAGCCGCGGUAAUACAGAGGGUGCGAGCGUUAAUCGGAUUUACUGGGCGUAAAGCGUGCGUAGGCGGCUUUUUAAGUCGGAUGUGAAAUCCCUGAGCUUAACUUAGGAAUUGCAUUCGAUACUGGGAA